This 528-nucleotide ribosomal RNA is filed under the name uncultured organism. RNAcentral's name for it is "bacterial SSU rRNA". It matches the Rfam family "Bacterial small subunit ribosomal RNA", at positions 251 to 774 of the family's 1533-position model. The record is from RNAcentral.
GGUGGGGUAAAAGCCUACCAAGGCUGCGAUGGGUAGCCGGCCUGAGAGGGUGAGCGGCCACACUGGGACUGAGAUACGGCCCAGACUCCUACGGGAGGCAGCAGUUAAGAAUCUUGCGCAAUGGGCGAAAGCCUGACGCAGCGACGCCGCGUGGAGGAUGAAGGUUUUCGGAUCGUAAACUCCAGUAAGCAGGGAAGAAUAAGCAACGGGUAAUAUUCGUUGUGAUGACGGUACCUGCCUAAAGCCCCGGCUAACUACGUGCCAGCAGCCGCGGUAAUACGUAUGGGGCAAGCGUUGUUCGGAAUUAUUGGGCGUAAAGGGCGUGUAGGCGGGGGACUAAGUCAGAUGUGAAAGCCAUAGGCUUAACCUGUGAACUGCAUUUGAAACUAGUUCUCUAGAGUUCGGGAGAGGAGAGCGGAAUUCCCGGUGUAGCGGUGAAAUGCGUAGAUAUCGGGAAGAACACCAGUGGCGAAGGCGGCUCUCUGGCCUAGAACCGACGCUAAGGCGCGAAAGCGUGGGGAGCGAACG